Molecule: long non-coding RNA, 577 nt
Organism: Carassius gibelio (silver crucian carp)
Lineage: Eukaryota; Metazoa; Chordata; Actinopteri; Cypriniformes; Cyprinidae
Exons: 3
Source: RefSeq, a predicted model, not a curated record
CAGCAAAGGAGUCCGUGGCGGACCCGCCCUCAAGCCGCCAGAUCCGCCUGACUGUCAGAUUCGUUUUCGCUGCGCUAACAGGAUCGGCCCCGCCUCCAGGAUCGGCCCCGCCUGCGCUUUUAAUCAGCGGACCCAGAACAGAUCACAUACGGAUCCGCACUUUGGACGCGCCUUAGAUAACCGCCGUGUGGGAAUUAGUCGGGAUCUCCUUCGCGUGAAGUUCGGCUGCCAAAUUUCUUCUUUGGCCACGAUUGGUGGAGAGAGUGGCGUGGAACAUCCUCUCUCGGAUGUUCACAGAAGAAGUGGCCAAGACCAUAAGCUCGAAGGGGGCAAAUGGCAAGAGGGCAUUCAGUCACAUGUCGUCGAAGACACUAAUGUACCGUGCUGUACGUGCAAAUAGUUUGUGUCGCACAGCCACAGACAUUCAACGUUAUGCCAUAAGAUGGUUUAACUUGGCUGCAGACCGUGGUGCGGCAAGGAGGCGCCUGACCAACCGGUCUAACCAGGCUGAGGCAGAUGAUUAGGCUACUUAUGGUCAUGUUUUCUUUUGUUAAAUAAAAUUUUUAUUCGUUUCAAA